Molecule: microRNA precursor, 61 nt
Filed under: Scyliorhinus torazame (cloudy catshark)
Lineage: Eukaryota; Metazoa; Chordata; Chondrichthyes; Carcharhiniformes; Scyliorhinidae
Description: Sto-Mir-8-P2a_pre stem-loop
Rfam family: mir-8/mir-141/mir-200 microRNA precursor family
About the family: The bounds of the precursors are predicted based on conservation and base pairing and are not generally known.
Source: RNAcentral
CAUCUUACUAGACAGUGCUGGAUUGCACUGCUAGGUUCUAACACUGUCUGGUAACGAUGUU